GACGAACGCUGGCGGCGUGCUUAACACAUGCAAGUCGAGCGGUAAGGCCCUUUCGGGGGUACGACGAGCGGCGAACGGGUGAGUAACACGUGGGUGACCUGCCCUCAGCUCUGGGAUAAGCCUGGGAAACCGGGUCUAAUACUGGAUAUGACUCCAUGACGCAUGUUGGUGGGGUGGAAAGCCUUGUGCGGCUGAGGAUGGG
This 202-nucleotide ribosomal RNA is filed under the name uncultured bacterium. Its description in RNAcentral is "partial 16S ribosomal RNA". It matches the Rfam family "Bacterial small subunit ribosomal RNA", at positions 28 to 229 of the family's 1533-position model. The record is from RNAcentral.